GAUGAAGAACGUAGCGAAAUGCGAUAAGUAGUGUGAAUUGCAGAAUUCAGUGAAUCAUCGAAUCUUUGAACGCACCUUGCGCCCUUUGGCCAUUCCGAAGGGCAUGCCUGUUUGAGUAUCAUGAACACCUCAACUCUUUAUGGUUUUCCAUGAUGAGCUUGGACUCUGGGGGUUUUGCUGGCUCACAGUCGGCUCCUCUGAAAUGAAUCAGCUUACCAGUGUUUGGUGGGUAUCAUAGGUGUGAUAACUAUCUACGCUUGUGGUUUUUCCACCAGGUAACCUUCAGCAGUGGAGGUUCGCUGGAGCUCAUAGAUGUCUCUCCUCAGUGAGGACAGCCCUUUGAAUGUUUGAUCUCAAAUCAGGUAGGACUACCCGCUGAACUUAAGCAUAUCAAUAAGCGGAGGA
Molecule: unclassified non-coding RNA, 405 nt
Filed under: soil metagenome
Description: partial contains 5.8S ribosomal RNA, internal transcribed spacer 2, and large subunit ribosomal RNA
Rfam family: 5.8S ribosomal RNA (bases 1-121)
Source: RNAcentral